Molecule: long non-coding RNA, 1706 nt
Filed under: Chinchilla lanigera (long-tailed chinchilla)
Lineage: Eukaryota; Metazoa; Chordata; Mammalia; Rodentia; Chinchillidae
Description: lncRNA (ENSCLAG00000025151.1)
Source: RNAcentral
ACGGAGAGAGACCCUAUCUAAUGCUAUGAAAUCCACGCAUUUCCUCUGUGUAAAAUUAUUGAAGGAACUCUUCCCAAGUGUCACAUUAUUGCUCAUAAGCCUCUUUCAAAUUACUCUAAUGAAACAUUGUUUCUUUUGAAACCACCAGCCUCCUCCUUUUGCACAGGCCUAGCAAAAUUGAUCGUUUUCCCCUAAGCAUGCUCUGUGAACUUAACUUUCCAUCUUUUCUGGCUGCCCAGCAAUGUGUCAGCUUGGUCCUGACCGUUGUUAAUGAACUUGAAAACCUAAGCUUUGUGGGAGGUGCCCUGCAAUGCAUUUUCAAGUCUCCGAAGCACGGUUCUCCAGAGACCAUGCCGUGCGUUUGUGUCAGGCACGGUUUGGCAGAGCUGUGGAAAGGUCAGCCUUUGGAGUUGAAGAGACAGAAGGGGUCCAGCUGCUAUCUCCUCUAGCUCUUAAGCAUCAGCUCCUCCACCCAGGAAACCCUGUGCGCUGGCCAGGUGCCGUGAGGGGGAACCAAGGCAACAGGGCCUUCGUGCAUUGGAAAGAAACUAGAUGGGGCCUGUGGGCCACAGCGACUUUCCAGGAACAGAAGUGAGAUUUCGGAAGGUCCGCCGAGGAAGACACUCAUCAGAUUCUGCUGUAUGGAGUUCACAAAGCUUCGCUCUCAGUUGCUACUUCUGGGAGACAAGACAGCGUGCCUCACAGGCUGCUGGCCCCAUGGCCUGCGCAUUCCGCAGGAAACUCCCGGCACCUUUUAUUAAUUGUACGCAUUCCUGAGCUUCCUCCACCCCGAGGUGUGGAUGAUUUCUGUUUAAAAGACAAUUUGCUGUUUUAGCAGCAGUGAAUGGUUAUCAAAUUCCUUACAAUUUCUUUUUUUUUCUUAAACUACAAAUAGCAGCACUGCUUCUGCACACAGAAAUCCUCACUUCCUUGCUGGAUAAAAGUCCUCGAAUGAGGUCCAGGUUGUGAGGCUGCGUGGCAGCUGCUGCCCGGUCCCUGAGCCUCCCCUGGACAGCUCCCGGCCGCUGUCCCAAGAGGAGCUGCACAGCAGUUUCUCUGUUAUGGUAUCAUACCAGCAGCAACACGGUUGCAUCCUUGAUUUCCUCGUCACAGCACACGUACUUCUCCGGAAUAAUCAUGGUGGUUUAAUGAAAACAUCAAGGCAUGAGCUGUUGUCCGCAUCUCUACGAACACGGCUCUCAAGCACUGCAAGACACUCUUGAUUCUCCGCAGGCCUGCAAGACCACUGACCACCCCACUGCACAGCCUCACCCCAGGAAAGGGCACUCUGGCUCUGCUUUGGUGACUUUACUGUAUUCUGAAGGAAGGUGUUCAUUUCACACAGAAGGCCAAUAAAAGAAAUCUCCUUCCAGGAGUGGUGCAGUCCUGUAAUCCCAGCACGUCCAAGGCUGAAGCAGGAGGAUUGCUGAAUUUGAGGCCUACUGGGGCCACAUUGCACAGCCAACCUGAACUACUUCAUGAGAAGUCCCAUCUCAAAGAUGAAACAGAACAACGAUGAUAAAAUGCAAUACAAAAUUAAAGGCAUCACCAAUAGAUGACAGUGUAGACAUCACCCUUACUGAUGUAAACUAGUACUGGUAAUACGAGCAGUUGUUUUGUAAAGCCAGAGAUCACAAUACUCUGAGGGCCUUGACACGGUCACUUUUCUUUAUAUGAUUUCUACUUCAUUUUUUUCUGACUAUUAG